ACUUAGGAAUCUGCCCAUUAGUGGGGGACAACUCGGGGAAACUCGAGCUAAUACCGCAUACGCCCUACGGGGGAAAGCGGGGGAGUCUUUCAGACCUCGCGCUAAUGGAUGAGCCUAAGUCGGAUUAGCUUGUUGGUGAGGUAAUAGCUCACCAAGGCGACGAUCCGUAGCUGGUCUGAGAGGACGAUCAGCCACACUGGGACUGAGACACGGCCCAGACUCCUACGGGAGGCAGCAGUGGGGAAUAUUGGACAAUGGGCGCAAGCCUGAUCCAGCAAUGCCGCGUGUGUGAAGAAGGCC
RNAcentral lists this ribosomal RNA (300 nucleotides) under uncultured Piscirickettsiaceae bacterium. Its description in RNAcentral is "bacterial SSU rRNA". It matches the Rfam family "Bacterial small subunit ribosomal RNA", at positions 115 to 416 of the family's 1533-position model. Lineage: Bacteria; Pseudomonadati; Pseudomonadota; Gammaproteobacteria; Thiotrichales; Piscirickettsiaceae. The record is from RNAcentral.